CGAGUGGGCGGGACACCAGCCACCGAGAGGCGCCUCUGUAAUUCCGUAGCUCUCCCUGCAGAGCUAAUGCGUAUUCGAAUGGCCCAAAUAAACCAGACAUUUCCUCUACUGUGGGCGCUCGGGGAGCGUCACUCCAUUACUGAGCAGGAGACCCAGAAUCUUUGCUGACGUCCAGCGACGCCAGAUUUGCCGUGACACCCCUGUUCUCUGUCAUUUGCUGAGCCACGUAAAUCACCGAACGCCUAUUUUUGCUCAGAGUCCAGCUUCCCCCACAGCUAACGCAUCACUCCGCACACACUCACGCCCGGUGCCCCCGACGCCUCUGGAUUUGAGUUUCGUUCUCCGUAAUUUCUCAAAACGGAAGUGAUGAGGCCGGAAGGGGCUUACUCGUAUUUGAUAAGGCGACUCCCCUGAAUGAGCUGGGCGACUUCGUUUGUGGCGUGGCAGGCGAAGAGAAGCCAGUUUCGAGGCUGCACCUUGUAGGCAAAUCUCAUGAACGUCAAGGAGUAA
This is a long non-coding RNA of Herpailurus yagouaroundi (jaguarundi), 510 nucleotides long. RefSeq lists it as uncharacterized. NCBI's taxonomy places the organism in Eukaryota, Metazoa, Chordata, Mammalia, Carnivora, Felidae. The record is from RefSeq and is a predicted model, not a curated record. The transcript has 2 exons.